RNAcentral lists this long non-coding RNA (285 nucleotides) under Panax ginseng (ginseng). Its description in RNAcentral is "long non-coding RNA (PGIN_LNC012772)". The record is from RNAcentral. Lineage: Eukaryota; Viridiplantae; Streptophyta; Magnoliopsida; Apiales; Araliaceae.
CAAUAUUAAAUUCCACGUCCCUUCGAUGAAGAUCCGCAUAACUCUUUUGUUGAUCUUGUGCUGUUUGUAUACGUUGUCGAAUCAUUUGGAUCAUCUCUGUAGUCAUUCGUACCAACUCUGGUCCCAACAAUAUUGCUUCACCCACCUCGUCCCAGCAUACUGGAAAACGACAUUUUCUUCCAUACAACGCCUCGAAUAGAGCCACACCUAUACUUACCUGAUAACUGUUGUUGUAAGAGAAUUCCACCAAUGGUAGGUCUUAUCCCAACUCCCUUUGAAAUCUAG